UCCUACGGGAGGCAGCAGUGGGGAAUCUUGCGCAAUGGGCGAAAGCCUGACGCAGCCAUGCCGCGUGAAUGAUGAAGGUCUUAGGAUUGUAAAAUUCUUUCACCGGGGACGAUAAUGACGGUACCCGGAGAAGAAGCCCCGGCUAACUUCGUGCCAGCAGCCGCGGUAAUACGAAGGGGGCUAGCGUUGCUCGGAAUUACUGGGCGUAAAGGGCGCGUAGGCGGACAUUUAAGUCAGGGGUGAAAUCCCGGGGCUCAACCUCGGAAUUGCCUUUGAUACUGGGUGUCUUGAGUGUGAGAGAGGUAUGUGGAACUCCGAGUGUAGAGGUGAAAUUCGUAGAUAUUCGGAAGAACACCAGUGGCGAAGGCGACAUACUGGCUCAUUACUGACGCUGAGGCGCGAAAGCGUGGGGAGCAAACAGGAUUAGAUACCCUGGUAGUCCACGCCGUAAACGAUGAUUGCUAGUUGUCGGGCUGCAUGCAGUUCGGUGACGCAGCUAACGCAUUAAGCAAUCCGCCUGGGGAGUACGGUCGCAAGAUUAAAACUCAAAUGAAUUGACGG
Molecule: ribosomal RNA, 561 nt
Filed under: uncultured bacterium
Lineage: Bacteria
Description: bacterial SSU rRNA
Rfam family: Bacterial small subunit ribosomal RNA
Source: RNAcentral